AGAUUUGUAACAGUUUACAUGAAAUUCUGACAGUUUACGAAAUCUAUCAGUCAAAAGCAGAUGGCCUGUGUUGGUAGGCUUUUUCUGUUAUAAGGAAUAUAUUUUCAACAUAUGUAUUUCAUUUAUAAUAUAUUUUCUCACAGGCUCUUAUUCUUAAAAAUCAUUUAAUCAACACAUGAUACCCUCCCACGCUUUAACUUGACACUUCAAUGUUCAGAUGUCAUCUAUCUGAAGUUCAGUAAGAGACAUGAUUAUGCAACAAAUUCUUUAAAAUAUCGAUCCUAAAUCACUGAAAACAUUUGUUGUAUCCUCAUGCCUAACCCUUUUAUGAAUGUAUUUUGCAGUUAGGCAUCCAGGUAUCCUUAGCUCUGACACUUGACCAUUAGGAUUUCUUUUUGAAUGUGGUUGUGUUGGCCAUAGCUGGCCACAUGUCCUUGAGGUGAGGCCAUAGAGGGUGGCACAGUCUGGCCAGGAAAGAAUGGAGGAGAGGAAGAGCAUGGAGAGACAAGUCAUCCCCCAAGGAGGAUGAAUUUCCAGUGGCUUGAAGAGUGGCCACAUGACAACCACUGGGGCUUCUCCCCUGAGUCACUAUGUUUGGGAGCUUGGUGGAUGGGUUAUUGCAGUGGAAUUGCCAGGUCACAGCCUGAACCAAUGGUUCAGCACCAAGUGAGAAGGUGUGGCUAACCCAGGGAGCUCAGGUGCAAGCAAUGCACCUGAGUGACCAGAAGGGGUGGAGUUUGAAUCUACCCCUCCUCAGCUUCAUUUAAGGGUUAGCAGUUGAGGGAGUAGCAUCUCUCUGGAUGGGGAUUGCACUUUCCUUGAGCAUCACUGGCUGUCAGAAGGGCACCCAGAUGCUUAAUCCAGAACUUCAUUAAUGAGAUUAGCUGUGUUGAGCGAAGAACUUGGGGUCUUGGAGUUGUGUUAGAUACCUUCUAAAAGGCUAAGAUGGUAUGCUGCUGUGAGCUGCACAAAUGUAUCUGGAGUCACCAGAAUAUGUAAAUGGCCCUAAGAGGAAUGCUGAUUACUCUAGUGAGCCUUUUGGGGAGUUGUAUCUGGCACAGAAGGCUGCAUCUUCUUCAGACAACUAUGAAUUUCUACUUUUCAGGGAUCUCAAAUGUCAUGGUUACCCAAUGACAGAAAGCACAACACAGUGACAGAGAAUUAAAAGUAUCUGGUGCCCCCAGCCGGCCUCAGUUGAAGUGAAACCAUUGUAAGAACACUAUUUUCUCGUAUUAGUCAACAUUCAAUGUCUGAAUUCCUUCGAAGAGCUCUCUCGUGAAAAGAAUAAUAAUAAUAUAAAUACACAAUUCUGUGUUGCUGGGAUUUUCUUGCAUCUCUUUAUCACUCUGUGCCAACUUGAAGUCCAGGUCUCAGAUCAGGAUGUAACUCUUGCUUGUGAGUACCAGCUUCCACCUCUGGAUAUCUGUAGUUUAACUGCAGAGUGUGCAGUGGCAGUCAGCUGUCAGAAGCCAGCAAUGGAUUAGAAGGAGGCACCCAGAGGAAAAAAAAAAAAAAAAACUUGGAUCCUAAUUCUUUGCAAUAGAAAUCUGGAGUUCUGAUUAGCAAUUUUUUUCAGUCAAAUAUGACCACCAGCAUUUCACUUUUCCUGUUGACCUUUCUGAGAUGCUUGAGACAAUCAAACAUGUGCGUCUUGGUAAUUGUUACCUCCUUUGGAUCAACUGGCUCCACAGUCAUUUGUUUUCCUGAUGAUUUUUGUCUGUUGUCACUGAAAAGUCCCUCCCACAUAGGACAGCAUUGUACAGAGGUCCUCAGUAUUUUCUUGAACACACUCAGUCGUCAUCUCUGUGCUGAUGACACACAGUUCUGCUCCAGACCUACCUUCUCCUGUCCAAAUAAAUGUCUAGGCUCCCUCUGUGGUCAUCUCAUCUUGCCCAGUUUUCUCUAAUUGAAAAUUGAGUUGAAUUUCUUUUUUUGUUUCUCUGUUUCUGACUUACUCAAAGGUUGUCCAAUACCCUCUUUAUAUAUAUGGAAAACUUUAUAAACAAGCAUGUUUGAUAGUGGCCUGGGUGGUGUCUCUGACUCCUUAGCAACUGGUUGCCAGGCCAUGACAAAUAUUGCAGGUCACCUCCCUGUGAUCUCCAAGACACCUCUGUCUCCCACUUGCCCACAGAGGUAAAUCUCUUACUUGCAUCCUCACUAUCUUACGUUGUGAUUACUGCAAAAUCAUUUUAUCCUGCCUUGACAGCUGCAGUUCUGCCCUUGUGAUAUCCAUCUAAAAUGAAGGAUGAUACAACUGUUUAUCCAGUUAGUCUCUUUGACGGUCCCACCCCUGUGUCUAUGAAUCAGUCCACUGGCUUCAACUUAUCUUCUGCAUAAAACAUAAACGCUUCUCUUCACUUUUAAAGUUGCUCCUUAAAGACCUUUAAGGUAGUUCUUCUAACGUGUGUUUAAUAUGCAAUAGUUUAGUCCCUUGAUUAGUAUACACUAAGAAAUGUUAUGAAAAAUUUAUCAUUUUCUUAUCAGCUCAGAGUUUUCGCUUACGAAUCACAAGCUGCUUCUUUGUGUUAAAGCCUCUCUGAUAAAAGAUUAGGUAUAAAACACUGAAGGAAACAACCUUUAAUUUCAUAUAAAUAAUAUGGAAAAAAGUGGUUUGGUAAAACAGUACUGUAAUAGCAGAAUCGUGGAAAUGUUAGCUUGAAGAAGCUUUUGGAGGUCAUACAUCCAAGGACCCAAAGCACAAGUAUCCCUGAAACUGGAGCAUGUCAGCCAUGAAUUUGUCUAGCCAGGUCUUUGAAAUUCAUAGGGCUGAGGUUCCACCAUCUCUUUGGGCAACAUUUUCCAGGCUUGACUACUGUCCUGGGAGGGUGUUCAGCCAGAAACUGACAAGCCACAAUUUGAGAUCAUUGCUCUUCUUUUAUUGUAUCAUCUGACACUGCUGGGAACAGUUUGGCUUCACCAUCUUUGUAAACUCAAGUAGCUGCUGGCUGCAAUUAGGUCACCCUUUAGCAUCCUUUCUGCCAGACUGAGCAAGCCCAGAUUCCUCAAACCCUUUCUGCAGGAUCAUUUGCUGUAGGCCCUGACCUAUCUGCUCUUCUUAUGUUCCUCCACAUCUGUCUCUAACUGUCCUAAAACUCAGCAGUGCCUAGUGAAUAAGAGGUUAACAAGUUCCCCCUGUGAUAUCUGUUCUCCUGGGUGCGCAGCUGAAAGAAAGGAUUAAGUAGGCAGGAGGAUGGACCAAGUUAAUUAUUUUUUGGUAAUACCAACUAGCUGCUCAUCUUGAAUGGCUAUUUUCUUCAAGAACCUAUUUAUGAUGAUUCCAGUACCAAAAAGAGAAGAAGAGCCUUUUCAAUUAGAACGUGCAUAUAACACCUAUUUACAGAUUAAUUUAAACAGCAUAGUUUAGAAACCUUUAAACCUAAUCCUUUCACUACCUUGUGGUAGAGAGUUGAUUUUUUUUUUGAAGCACGAGCUCCUCGUUUUGGGAAAGAUGUAUUUAUGGAACAUUUUUCUCCUGCUGAGAAGGCAGAUAGCAGUUUGCUUCUCUGAAGUCAUGUCAUUGCCUGACUCAGGGCAGUCCAAGCAUUGAGUGACCAUAUUCAUUGCUUUUCAGAAAAUGCACAAUUAAUCUAAAGUAUAAAAGAACUAAAAAUAAAGUAGAACUGAUUAAAUACUUGCAUUUUACAACCCAUGUAUUUCAUUACAUUAGCCUUUUUUGUACUUAUGGACUUACUGUGGAGAGCUUGUUGUUUUCUCACACUUGCUUAUUUAAUCAUUCAAACUAGUUUGUAUUUUUGCUGCUGUUUUGUAACUCUUUGUAUCAAAAACAUUUUGGGGAAAUAUUCACAGUGAUCCCCGUUGAAUCAUUGUGUGGUUGAUCGGAUGGGAGAGGCAUGAUGUCAUUUAUCUAAUUUAACAGUGGCAACAAGCAAACCUUUUUGCCACACAUAUUUUGCUCCCAUAUAAAAAUGUGGCUCAGAUGCUGCUCAGCCAGUCGCUGUCAUCCAGCAUUGAAAAGUUUGUAGUGAACACCAAAGGAAGCAAACUUGACUGAAGUUAAUACUCCUGAGGAUCUCAGAGUAACUUUGCACUAUAUGCCAUUUUAUUUUUGUUCUUUGAAUGUAAGCCACCCUUAGGGAUCAGAGCUAAUGCCAAAUUACUAUUUUGGCUUUAAAAUGAUUUCCAGUUAUGUGGGCAGGAAUGUCUCCCUAAAAGUCUCCAAACAUAGCAUACAUAAGCACUACUUUAUAUUUCAAUCUAAUUUGAAAUAAUAGCUUUGAUAUUAAAAUGGAGUUCAUAAUGGGAUUUAUGAUCACUGAGUUACAACACUGAAAAUUAUUUCUAUGGAUAUGAAAAGUUCUGCUCUGUUUGCUGUAGGUAUUUUUCUAUUGUCAUUUCCAUAUACACUUUAUGAGAUGAAGAGCUAGAAAAAUCUCACACUGCACAUCAGUUUUCUGGUUUGGCUUUGCAUGACCUGUAUUCUAUGGUAAUUCAUCAUGUCAUGUGUUUAUCUCUUAAAAAAAAAAAAAAUUGCUAAUUUUCCUGGUCUUGACUUUUUUCAGUUGCAUGUCUCCUAUUUUUGAGGCAGUGUUGUCUUCCUUUCUUGGUAGGCCCAUAUUUUUAAAAUUCUUUUCUGGAGUCUCUCAUGCAUACUGAAAUUACUUCUCUAAACUUUUGCCUAGUAUUAGGUUUAAAAUAUGUUGUUUCUAUUUUGCCUUGCAAAGCACAAAUCAAACUAAUGAAAUUAGUAACAUGGCUGGACGGUUCCAAAAUGGUUACUACUUACUUACUCAUUUAAAACCUUGUAUGAAAUUUGAUAUUUUUAAUAAACCUCUUCAUUGUAUACAUUGCCAAGGAGGAAAAAAAUCUGAUUUAUUAUAACUUAUAAUGUUUUUUGUUGACUGGAAGUUCUUUUUUUAAAUAUAUCUUAAUUCUCAAUCACCUAUACAACUUCAGUAAUACAACAUGUAGUGACUUCUACACUCUUAAAAUGUUCUAUUCUGCAUCAUGAAAAAUCCUUCACUGUACUGUUAAGAGAUCAGCCUGUAUGGGAGAUGUAAUUUUUUCAGGGUAGGAAUACUGUAGAAUAAAUAUAAAGAGUGAUGCAGGCUUACUCACAGAGGAGCUGUCUUUAAACUUGUCCAGGCAAGGACGUGCCAGUGCACAGUGAGGGGCCUGAAAAAUGUUUCUGGUAAAAUCUCAGUUUAAUGGUUAACAUAAUUUGCCUGUUUGGAAUGUUUCUGCUUCCAAGCAGAACUGCUAUUGUAUUUUGGCAUGUUUCCUAAGUUAUUCUCACUUUCUAGCGUUUCAUUGAUUUACCCACAAAGUGAUGCUUUGAAGUGUAUCAACUGGUGAUUUGUCUUGUGAUUUUUACUAGUGGGUAGAAAGAUACUACAGAGUCAAUGGAAGCUGAAUUUGGAUGUUGUUACCUUGCUGAACCAAACACCGCAGAAAUGUGAUAUUUGCAGAGUUUUCUUUAAAAAUAAAAAAGUUUCGUUUUGUUUGGAGGAGUCUGUUGGUUGUUUCCUGUUUGUGGCUAUUGAGGCCUGACUAGACUAGUUACAGUUGCUGAGAGGAUGUAAAUGCACUUAAUCAUACAGAACCCAUGUAUUUCUGCAGUGCUGCAGUUGUAGCUAAUGAAUAAAAAAUGGAAAAUACUAGAAAAUAAGGCUCAAGCGUUGUCUUUAUCUUUGGGUAGUGUAAGUAUUCAUGCAUCUUUGGUGUCACUUCUUUCUCUGACACAGAAGUUAGAAGCAUUUAAACCACUUAUUGCCUCCCAGUCUGAUGAAGUCCUGCUUUAAUGGAUUGGUUUGGCUGUUCAUCAUGUAAUAUAUAGAAAAGAGUAUUUGGCCACCUCUUGAUGCAUGUGAACUACUAGGCUGUUGGUUUGCAUCCAGCGAGAGAGCAAAUUCCCCCAAACCAUCUUCUGCCUGCUUGCGUUGUUACACCCUGCAAAAAAUGAAUUGGCUCUUUCAGUUUGAAUGUCAGCAGGCAGGUGCUUCUUCUGAAAUUACCAUAUAUUGAAGUUGGAAGUUAAGGCCAAAAAAAGUUCUUAAAUUCUUGACAGCAGAGCAUCCUUCUAGGUCAAGCUGGUUUCAGACAGCCUGACAGUGCCUGUGUUGUAUGCACCACAGUAUGUAAGUAGGGGCCUUACUUUUUCAGACUU
This is a long non-coding RNA of Numida meleagris (helmeted guineafowl), 6124 nucleotides long. RefSeq lists it as uncharacterized. The record is from RefSeq and is a predicted model, not a curated record. Lineage: Eukaryota; Metazoa; Chordata; Aves; Galliformes; Numididae. The transcript has 5 exons.